Molecule: non-coding RNA, 185 nt
Filed under: Acidobacteriota bacterium
Lineage: Bacteria; Pseudomonadati; Acidobacteriota
Description: 6S RNA
Rfam family: 6S / SsrS RNA
About the family: E. coli 6S RNA was the first non coding RNA to be sequenced, but its function was unknown until recently. It consists of 184 nucleotides that fold into an extended hairpin structure with a large single-stranded internal bulge.
Source: RNAcentral
GACUCCCUGCUUUGUGCGUGAUGGUUCGGAGAGUCGCUUGAGCCGAUGUUCGUCCCUAAGUGAGCUGCGACGCCGCGUGGUGUGCACGCCUCCGUGGUGAGGAAGCCUGAAGCGCGGCUUGACCCAGCGGCUCCACCUGCACCCGCAGGUUCAGCGGCCUCCCCACACGGCAAAGCGGGGGGUUU